GUGUCACUGCAGACUCGCCAGGCCCUGGGGCUGCCCGGCGCUCAGCCGUGCGAGCCUGAACCCAACUGCAGCUCCCCAGGCUUCUGUCCUCUGUGCCUCGCAGCCAGCGGUGGGCUCCCCACCCUGCACCCACCCCUCCUGGUGGAGGCGGGACCUGCAGCAGGCUUCUCCCUAGGGCAGUCGGGGCUGGCGCUCAGGGCGCACUCCGUCCUCAGCACCCCGGGAGGUGACGUCUGUGCUCCCAGGAGGCGCCUUUGGCUUAAGGAGGCUUGGUUGUCCAUCUGACCUGGGCAGAAGGGCGCAGCACAUCAUCAAUGGAAAUUACGUUAAGCCGAGUGUGAGCGUGGAGGAUUCCUGCCACUGGGACCAUCUACUGACAAUACAGGAAAGGAAACCAAGGCUCGGGCUCCCUCCGCCCCCCACGCCCGGCACACCCUGCUCAUUCCCGUCAGCUUCAUGGCCACAGCCCGGCGUCAUAAUUAAGUCGCAGAAAGCCGUGUGGAAGGUGGUGGUGGUUGGUUUUUUGCCCCUGGGGAAUCAAAACAGUGAUAAUGAAACAGGACCAGUAAUCUGACUUUAAUGAAAUGCAGAGUCUCAUUCACCACAUUUGGCAAAGAUGUUAAGUCAGGGAAAGCCAUCAGCACGUUCCCAUAUCAAUAAAAUGCAAUUCCUUGUGUUCUUUACGUAGAACAAUAAGGCAGCCUCCGUGGAGAACACGUGGGCUCGCCUGCCUGCGGUUCUCUCGUGCAACUGAGAGAUCCACUUCCUGUACAACUGGGGAAUGGAUCGGUUGGCUGCUGAAAAACCCGUGCGUUACCGCGUUAGACGGCAUCUCCAGCAUUUUCUGUGGCGAAACAACUUGUGCUGCAGAUCUAUGUUUGUGGGGGGGACGGGGGACGGCAGAGCUGAACGCCUAGGAGGGGACUUAAUGGGAACUAAGCGGGGUGCGCAGGCCCACUCUCGAGUAAGCCUUUCAAAUCUGCAUUGCAUCCAGAAGGCUUUUUAUUUUAAAGCCAAUUUAAAAAGUCAAUAAUCAUUAAAUAUGCAGAGACAUUUGUACGCUUCCUGCUUUGUUCUUUGGCUUGCUUCCAAAUGAGGCCAUGCGUGCUUCUGUCAUUUGCUGGUUGGUUGGCUUAGCAAAUCCAGAGAUCAGGGUGACACUGGAACCUGCCUCACUGAACCCCUGUCUUUCCAGAGAGAUGCUGGGAUGGCAAAACCCAGAACAGCUCUCCUCCUUCUCCUGGAGCCCAUGAGGAACUGAAAGGCAAGGCAAGCUUCCCUUACGGGGGGUCUGACACUGGGGUCCUCACCCUGCCCUCCGGCUCCUCCCAGGAGCAGCCUUUCCCGGGGUCCCUGCUGCUGUCCCAGUAAACCCUGGUCCUGCUUGGACAGAUUCUACCUGGCCUGCGUCCCGCCUGGGACACAUCGGCAGGUGACCCUGGCCCCGAGUCCCUCGCAGACGCCCUCCCUGGAGCCCUGCCUGCCCCUGGCACCCUGGCAGCCGGAAGACCAGCUUGUGGCUUGGCAAGGCGACUCGUGUUGGAGCGCGGCGUGCCCUCACCCUGGCCAGGACACGCUGGGUUUGGAGCGCGGCUUCUUGGUGUCUGCUCCGGGCAGCCACUGACUUAUCUUUGAGCACAUCCUGGAACAAUACUCUAAGAUAAAUACUCUGCCAAGCCUUUUACUCCAUGGCUAUUUACUUUGCAUUUCCAUGAUCUCAAUGGAACCCAGAAGGGAGGAGACAGAACGCUGGGCAAACAAUCCUUGGCCUCCGUGUGCGCACAAGGGGAGGACUGAGGGAUGCUGUUUUGUUUUCCCUGACGUGACACAGCCCUCCUGUCUGCGUGCAGAUCCGAGUCACUCAGAAGAUUCCACUCGGCCCAGCAGGCUGGAUAACUCCGCUCCCAGAGGGGGAAGACAGGGCCCAGGGCGGCGGUGCCACUGGAAGACAGUCUGCACGCCCUGUCCUACCCCGUUAGCCUCGGGGUCCUGGGCGAGACCUUGAGCUUGCACGCGUCUCUGCUCCAUUCCUCCCUGGAGAGACACCUGGGCUUCAGGGGACUCACCCCUCCAGACUCUUCUGUUUCCAGCAGGAUGCUGUAUCCCCUGAACCCAAGGCUCUGGAAAUCCAAGGAGAGAAACACCAAGCUGUGAACCGGCAGCCUGCUUUUUCCAAGGAUGGCUCUCACAUGAGCCUUAUCGUCAUCAUGGGAUUGCGCUAUUUUUAAAAGCCCGCAGAGGUGAGAACUGAUUUUGAAAGGUUAAGUCCACAAAGAAAAAGUCAGCACGCUAUCAGAAUUUGUUCUAGACUCACCCACAUUUGUCAAGGAGACCUUUCCAGCUACGCUCCCUGCCUCUUCCUCCUCCUGGUCCUGCUCAAUGAGCUGCACACGCAAAGAUCUGCCCUCGACAAACAGACGCAGGUCCCCGGGAAAAGCCGCCAACAGGAAAAACACAAGAGGAAGAGGAUGUUAAAUUGCUCAAGGGCCACUCUGCUUACUCCUACUGAGCCCAACGCGUCUCCGCGCCUCGGCCGGGGCAGCAGGUGCACGUCUCCAUGACAACAGCCAGAGGUGGGCUACCGAGUGCUUUCCCAGGACCCAGGGGAGGGGCGUCUAUUUUAUUUUAUUUUUUUAUCUCCCAGGUAGGAAGUGGUGAAGGUGCGGGCACUGGCUGCCUCCUGAAGCUCUCGGAACUGGCAGGGACUGCAGUAGCUUGGAGAAAGUGACACAAGUCCAAGGCCGGCGGGGGUGGGUGGGUGUUCACAUCACGGUGCUGGCUGCCUGUCCUGUCUCCUCACACCCCUAGGGGAGCCUUGGAAACACACCUGCUUGCAGCGUCCAGCCUCUGUGGCUCUGAGACUCCCUGAUAGACCGUGGUCUCACUUCCAUCAGCUUUGUUGGUUCCAGACGUGCUUGGGAGGCAUCUUUGAAUAAGCUUUGCACGCAGAGGUACGAGGAGGCCAUAUGGAUAACACAUCAAGUGCUUUGGAAGACAUUAGCCUGGGAGACGCACCAGCGUUAGCUCUGCUAAGACGAGGAGAGCUACCCAGCAAAGCCACAGUCUGACGUGGCGGGGUUCCCACACGAGCAAGAAGGGUGCACGCGAGGACGCUGGACCCCAGACCCCUCAGCCUGCUGUCGGUGACAGUGCCCGCCAUGCCAGGGGUCAGGCCCACUCCCUUUCUGUCCCACCCCAGGCAGGGGCCCAAUUCUGGUUCUUUCUUUCCCACGCUGCCUUCCUCACUGGCAAGGCCACCACCAUCCAGCUCAGCCUUUGUUCCUUCCCCUGCAACACCUCCUAAACAUGGAAACAUUAGGAGCUCAGACCCUAAGCAGGCAGAUACCUCUCCCUUAAAUAUCACCGCAUUGAAUUAAGAGCCUCUGUUGCUUUACAUGCAUUUACAUGUAAAUAUAUAUUUGCUUUAUAUAUGAA
This is a non-coding RNA of Oryctolagus cuniculus (rabbit), 3435 nucleotides long. NCBI's taxonomy places the organism in Eukaryota, Metazoa, Chordata, Mammalia, Lagomorpha, Leporidae. The record is from RefSeq and is a predicted model, not a curated record.